GACAGAGGGUGCAAACGUUGUUCGGAAUUACUGGGCGUAAAGCGCGUGUAGGCUGCCCAGCAAGUCGGAUGUGAAAGCCCUCGGCUUAACUGAGGAAGUGCACCCGAAACUGAGUAGCUAGAGUACUAAAGAGGGUCGCGGAAUUCCCGGUGUAGAGGUGAAAUUCGUAGAUAUCGGGAGGAACACCGGUGGCGAAGGCGGCGACCUGGGUAGAUACUGACGCUGAGGCGCGAAAGCGUGGGGAGCAAACAGG
This 253-nucleotide ribosomal RNA is filed under the name uncultured bacterium. Its description in RNAcentral is "partial 16S ribosomal RNA". It matches the Rfam family "Bacterial small subunit ribosomal RNA", at positions 524 to 776 of the family's 1533-position model. The record is from RNAcentral.